Long non-coding RNA from Helianthus annuus (common sunflower), 1514 nucleotides. RefSeq lists it as uncharacterized. The record is from RefSeq and is a predicted model, not a curated record. Lineage: Eukaryota; Viridiplantae; Streptophyta; Magnoliopsida; Asterales; Asteraceae. The transcript has 7 exons.
AGCACAACAUAAUUUGGUUUUCCUAUUCUACCCUCACUCACAAAACAAGGCGGAGAACAAAACCACGUUAUCAGCUCAUUAGGGUUUCUGUCUUUCACAUCCGCCCCAUUUCUUCUCUCUCUCUCUCUCACCAGGCGAUAACCCUUGAUCCAUGGAUUUCACUGCCGAAUUCACUGGAUCGACGGAUUUCACCCGCGAAUCCACAUCUCAGGGUUUUUUCUCCGGCUAUGACCCUAGAGCGAUGGAUUUCACUGGCGUUUUCAAAUCUCAGGGUUUCUUUCUCCGGCGAUAACCCUAGAGAUAGAUGGAUUUCACCGGCGUUUUCACAUCUAAGGUUUAUGGAUGAAGACGAUAAAGAACUUAUCUCUGUCUCCAAAACCAGUGAUAAAAUAAGAAGUUGAGUUCUGUACUUAUCCAUUAAGUAGUUGAUAUAUAAGUAGCCAUUUAUGGUUCUUUAUGAUGAGCCCUCAUGAUUUAAGGCUCUUUUGGAGUGAAGUAUAAGUCAAAGUAUCUCUUAAACCAUCAAAAUUUUCUACAAUUUUUUUUAUUCCAGAUUUUUAAGGCUCUUUAUGUUUCAGAUUUUAAGUGGCUGAGGUUUGACCAUCACCGUAAUUAUUCAUAUUUUAAGUGGGUGAGGUUUGCCCUCAACAGUCAAAAUAAAAUUAUGACUGGAUUUGAUUUUGAUAGUGAUGUUGAAUGGUCCAGUUGUGUCAUUCUUUUGCAAAUUUGUGAUGUAUUAGUACUUUACCCUUAUUCUGCAAAUGAAAUCAUCAAUUGCGUGGUGAUUUGUUGGCCACGGGUAGAGGGGUAAGAUCGAAGGCACAGUUACGCGAGAUGCCGAACAAUGAGUCCAGGUCACAACCAUAGGCAUGAUAGCAGGAUGUUUGUUCUUACUUUACAAAGCUUUACGAGGUUGAUGGUUUGGAUGCUUUUUCUGUCAAACAAGCUUGCAAAAUAGCAAAGGGACAUGCCUUGAAGAACGGAUCCAUUGUAAGCAGUCAUAGCUUUUCUAAAUUCACUCUUUAUUAACCGGUUACAAUUUCGGUUAUUAUUCGGUUAUAUAGGAUCGGCUUUUCUUGGCCCUGUUAGAUCUGUUCUUGUGCAUCCUCAUAUGCAGAAUGUUCCCUCACUUAAUCGUCUCAUGCUCACUAAAGCAAAGGUCAACUCUUUUAUACAUUGUUUUGUUGAAGUUCAAAAGAUCACAUCAUUACAUGACUUGGAGAUAGAAAUAUGUAAAAGUGAAAGGGUCAAGAGCUUUGAAGAACUUAAACUUAAACUGGGACCCAUUCCGAGGUCACAGAAAUUUGCAAAAUUACAAGUGAACAAAUUUUUGCGUACCUCAGCCGACUCCCUCGCAAAAAAGAAAAAGGAAGGACCUCCGUAGAUGACUUAUUUGAUUUUAUAGCAAAUGUUUAUACAAGGCAUACCCUGCAAUAACAAUAUUUUUAUUAUUUUUAUUUUAUAUGAUGUAUAUGAUCAUACUAUAAUGACAGACAUAAACUUUCACUUGCCAA